Molecule: ribosomal RNA, 484 nt
Filed under: uncultured bacterium
Lineage: Bacteria
Description: partial 16S ribosomal RNA
Rfam family: Bacterial small subunit ribosomal RNA
Source: RNAcentral
AGUGAACGCUGGCGGCGUGCUUAACACAUGCAAGUCGAACGAGAACGGGUUAUAGCUUGCUAUAAUUGUCAGCUAAGCGGCGCACGGGUGAGUAAUGUAUAGGUAAUAUGCCUCUUACUAAGGGAUAACAAAUGGAAACGUUUGCUAAUACCUUAUACUCCUUAUUAACAGAAGUUAAUAAGGGAAAGAUUUAUUGGUAAGAGAUUAGCCUGUAUUGUAUCAGUUAGUUGGUGGGGUAAUGGCUUACCAAGACUAUGACACAUAACUGGUUUGAGAGGAUGAUGAGUCACACUGGAACUGAGACACGGUCCAGACUCCUACGGGAGGCAGCAGUGGGGAAUAUUGCACAAUGGACGAAAGUCUGAUGCAGCAACGCCGCGUGGAGGAUGACACAUUUCGGUGCGUAAACUCCUUUUAUAUGAGAAGAUAAUGACGGUAUUAUAUGAAUAAGCACCGGCUAACUCCGUGCCAGCCGCCGCAGUAA